This is a non-coding RNA of Ameiurus melas (black bullhead), 69 nucleotides long. NCBI's taxonomy places the organism in Eukaryota, Metazoa, Chordata, Actinopteri, Siluriformes, Ictaluridae. The record is from the annotation of a GenBank genome assembly.
ACUGGUGGUGUAGUGGUUAGGGUUUGGCGCUCUUGCUGUCACGGUCUGGGUUCGAUUCCCGGUCACGUA